RNAcentral lists this transfer RNA (86 nucleotides) under Prevotella lacticifex. Its description in RNAcentral is "tRNA-Ser". It matches the Rfam family "tRNA". From Rfam's summary of the family: Transfer RNA (tRNA) molecules are approximately 80 nucleotides in length. Their secondary structure includes four short double-helical elements and three loops (D, anti-codon, and T loops). The record is from RNAcentral. Lineage: Bacteria; Pseudomonadati; Bacteroidota; Bacteroidia; Bacteroidales; Prevotellaceae.
GGAGAGAUGGUAGAGUGGUCGAUUACAACGGUCUUGAAAACCGUCGUGCAGAGAUGCACCGGGGGUUCGAAUCCCUCUCUCUCCGC